GUGAUCCUCGUAUGUCUCCCUCAAGGUGUCGCCAAGUACUGUGACGACACCUUGAGGGAGACAUACGAGGAUCACAU
Molecule: non-coding RNA, 77 nt
Organism: Pelobates cultripes (western spadefoot toad)
Lineage: Eukaryota; Metazoa; Chordata; Amphibia; Anura; Pelobatidae
Source: the annotation of a GenBank genome assembly